RNAcentral lists this ribosomal RNA (1403 nucleotides) under uncultured bacterium. RNAcentral describes it as "16S ribosomal RNA". It matches the Rfam family "Bacterial small subunit ribosomal RNA". The record is from RNAcentral.
AGAGUUUGAUCUUGGCUCAGGAUGAACGCUAGCGGCAGGCUUAACACAUGCAAGUCGAGGGGCAGCGGGGAGGAAGCUUGCUUUCUCCGCCGGCGACCGGCGCACGGGUGAGUAACACGUAUGCAACCUGCCCCUGUCAGGGGGGACAACCCGCCGAAAGGCGGGCUAAACCCGCGUACAUGCCACCGGGGCAUCCCGGAGGCAGGAAAGGCUUCGGCCGGACAGGGAUGGGCAUGCGGCGCAUUAGGCAGUAGGCGGGGUAACGGCCCACCUAACCGACGAUGCGUAGGGGUUCUGAGAGGAAGGUCCCCCACACUGGUACUGAGACACGGACCAGACUCCUACGGGAGGCAGCAGUGAGGAAUAUUGGUCAAUGGUCGGGAGACUGAACCAGCCAAGCCGCGUGAGGGAUGAAGGUACAGAGUAUCGUAAACCUCUUUUGUCAGGGAACAAAGGCGGGGACGCGUCCCCGGAUGAGUGUACCUGAAGAAAAAGCAUCGGCUAACUCCGUGCCAGCAGCCGCGGUAAUACGGAGGAUGCGAGCGUUAUCCGGAUUUAUUGGGUUUAAAGGGUGCGCAGGCGGUCUGUUAAGUCAGCGGUCAAAGCCCGGGGCUCAACCCCGGCCCGCCGUUGAAACUGGCAGUCUCGAGUUAGAGAGAAGUAUGCGGAAUGCGCGGUGUAGCGGUGAAAUGCAUAGAUAUCGCGCAGAACUCCGAUUGCGAAGGCAGCAUGCCGGCUCCACACUGACGCUGAGGCACGAAAGCGUGGGUAUCGAACAGGAUUAGAUACCCUGGUAGUCCACGCAGUAAGCGAUGAAUGCUGGCUGUCCGGGGGGACUGACCCCUGGGUGGCGAAGCGAAAGCGAUAAGCAUUCCACCUGGGGAGUACGCCGGCAACGGUGAAACUCAAAGGAAUUGACGGGGGCCCGCACAAGCGGAGGAACAUGUGGUUUAAUUCGAUGAUACGCGAGGAACCUUACCCGGGCUCAGACGGGGAGUGACUCAGGCAGAGACGCCUGUUUCCCACGGGACACUCCCCGAGGUGCUGCAUGGUUGUCGUCAGCUCGUGCCGUGAGGUGUCGGCUUAAGUGCCAUAACGAGCGCAACCCCCGCGUGCAGUUGCUAACAGAUAACGCUGAGGACUCUGCACGGACUGCCGGCGCAAGCCGCGAGGAAGGCGGGGAUGACGUCAAAUCAGCACGGCCCUUACGUCCGGGGCGACACACGUGUUACAAUGGGUGGUACAGCGGGAAGCCAGGCGGCGACGCCGAGCGGAACCCGAAAUCCACUCUCAGUUCGGAUCGGAGUCUGCAACCCGACUCCGUGAAGCUGGAUUCGCUAGUAAUCGCGCAUCAGCCAUGGCGCGGUGGAUACGUUCCCGGGCCUUGUACUCACCGCCCGUCA